Molecule: long non-coding RNA, 4607 nt
Filed under: Paramuricea clavata
Lineage: Eukaryota; Metazoa; Cnidaria; Anthozoa; Malacalcyonacea; Plexauridae
Source: RNAcentral
AAAUAAAAUUUAAAGUUUAUUUAUUUAUUUAUCGACGCGACUUACCCAAGGGGCAUUUAGGGACGCCGGGAGUCAAAAUGAAAUCGAUAAAAUUGCGACGAGAUUUGAAAGUUUCGGAUCAAGACAUCAACUUUCAUUUUGGACAGACAUUCUUUAUUAAUUAAACACGCGUUAUUUCGGGCUCUGUAGCAUAGUCCAAAACAGAUCUGUAUUUGUAUAUUGAAUUUAUUUGCUUUAUUGGCAUGACCUUACGUACAGGCAGUUGCUAAAUCUUUACAUAUGUGCUAUAUUAAAAACUAUGUGCUAUUUACAAGAAAAUAAGUGAGAAAAGUAUAUCAAACUAAAUGGAAUAAUGUCAAAAUAGACUUAAUUAAGCUUACUUCACAUGAUGAACGCGCGUUUUAGUCAAUUGAACAUGGCGCAACGAAUUUUAGGUAACUUUACUAAAUUUUUAGUGAAGAAAGCCAAGCAAAUGCUGAUUUCGAAAAUCUUCAUUUGAUGAGUGUUAUGUUAAACCUGUCCAGUAUUGGCUGACUAAAGAAAUAUAAACAUAUCCCAUAAAAAAAUCAAAAUCUGUUUAUAGUUUACCUCAACGUUUGUCUACAUAUCUCGAUUUGAAUCUUCAUAGGUACGGUUAAAAAGCGUGUGCGGAAAAUUUCUCUUCUUCAAUGGUUUUUCUGAUAUGUCGUUUUCUUUGACAACUUCGUGAAUUUGAUAUCAGUGACAAAUCCAGGAAUCAGUGAAUAUCAGAAAAACCACUAUAAAAGAAGAAAAAAUUUUCCGCACACGUUUUUUUACUGUGCCUAUGAAGAUUCGAAUUUGAACGAACGUUGAGGUAAACUAUCAACAUAUUUUGAUGUUUUUAUGAAGGUACCUAAUCAAAUGAAAAUUUUCGAAAUCAUGAUUUCCUGGCUUUCUUCACUGAAAAUGUGGUAAAGUUAAAAUAAAAUUCGUUGCACAAUGUCCAGUAGACAAAAACGCACGUUCAUCGUGUGAAGUAACCUUAAAUUAGUUAAUCGUCGACGUUCUGGUUCGAAGGCGUUCAUGUCUUUCGGUAAAACAAGAGUACACAAACUUUGAAAAUAAUAUCGUUUCAAAGCUGGACCCCCAUAGUUGCAGAUUUUAUCAUUGAGAUUAUCAACGACUUUGGUCAACCAUGUUAGCUCGUGAACUACGGAGCGAAAUGGUAAGUUUACAUCUCACUAAAAGGGUGUCCCGAGAAAAUUGCAAUAGCAAUGUGUCAGAUAUAUACACAGCUAAUUAUUAGCGGACAACGAAAAAUCUAAUCCAAGAGAUGAAUUUUGACACCAAGAUUAUUAAAAUUGGUCCAGUAGAACCAAUCUUAUGGCUGUUUUAAACCUGUCUAUGGCCGGUUCACCCAAUGGAACAUUGAAAUCAUGCAUCAGUUCUGGUAAGUAUUACUAGGUUUGACGAUCCCCUUACUACAGCCAUAAUAUUGCUUGUACUACACCAAUUUUAAUAAUAUCAGUCUCAAAAUUCAUCUCUGAGAUUGAAUUUUCGAUGCCCACUAAUGUAAAAAUCUGCAACAUAGCUAUCGCAGUUUCUUUCGGCGAGACACACUGUAUUUACAGUCUACUGCUAAAGCUUAUACUCCAUCUCAUCUUAUCCAAAACUAGCUUUUGUAGUCACAUCUCAUUUCGUGAGUAGUAUAUCAUUUUUUCUGUCUCGAUUGCUAUCCAGUAGAAUUCCAGGUGAUCUGACGGUGACCAAAAGGACUGGGACUAGCAACAGAAUAGAAAUCCAGUUUCGUACAUUUAAUUACUUGUCACGUCCUGCAUGAUUCUUUUGUGAAACUGUUUGAAACUUUGUGUCUGUGUCUUGCACAGGGAAAUGAAUGUGUGGGACAAAUUUGAAAUAGUAAUCUAAUACCGUUGAUGGGAUAUUGAGUAAUUUUAACCAGAAAUGGAUUUCUAUUUUACAACUAGUGCCAGGCCUUUUUCGAGUUCUGAGAUCACCUGGUUAGGAAGAUAUUUUAAUUCAGGGGGGGCUGAAAUUUGUGGAGAGGACCAUUAAAGACGGGUGGUUAGGGGGCAUGCUCCCUGGGAAAUUUUAAAAUCGAGUCUUAGAAAUGCCAUUUCCUGUAAUUUCUGGCGCAAAAUUGGAAAACUUAUAGAGCAAAUAUGUUGCAAAACAUUUGUUUCAAGUUCGAUUUUUUGUUAGUUUGAACGAUUUGCACACGAAAGUCCUGGGAACGAGGUUGAAUGAUUUGCCGAGGAGCACAGCGAGCUAUAAUAGCCAGGAAAGGAAACAUAAUUAAACUCAAGAGUUAACAGAACUACCUGUAGAUGGAAAAGAGCCACAGUAUUGAAAAAAGUGGGCUAGGGGUUAACCCCCUGUGCAAAAUUCUAGGGGGUACAAUGUCUGAAAUAACGAUAAAAAUGGCAUUUUCCCUGAUUAUGAUUUUUCUUGAAAAUUCGUCUUAGAACGCAUUAAGAAAUGUUGUUCCAGAGCAGUGGCGGCGGAACAAUAGGGACGAAGGAAAAACAUCUUCCGGACCUAACAUAUUCCCAACUGUACAUCUUUAAUUAAUACAUCACCGGUUUUCUUUCAUCUUUCCCAAAAUUUUCCUCUACAUUAGACCAACUUUUAUAUAUAAACUUCAAAAUUUCGAAUUUUAUCCAUUUUUCUUUUUGGGAAAGGGGGGGGGGGGCUUAGCCCUUCUCCACUUUCCGCCCCCACCCCCUAACCACUCCCGUUCCGCCGCCUAUGUUCCAGAGACCUUGAAUCGGUGGUGGAAGCGGAAUAUUUUUACUUAAACAUUCAAACAUUCAGUAUUCCUACAUUCAAUAUUUCUGAAAUACCUGUGGUGUGUGUGGAAAUAUUCCAAUUCUGUUUCAAAUAUUCAUAUUCUUACUAUGAAUAUUCAUAUUCCUACCGUAAAUAUUCAUAUUCCUACUUGAAAUUCUUACAACUAAUUUUUAUAUUCAACCUAGUUUUGAACUCAGUAUUCAAUAUUUCGUUUCCAACUCGACCCUGAAAACUUCUCAGGGGAGAGCAUGCCCCCCAGACCCCCCGCAAGAUUCUUGCGGCAUAGAUCCUCGUUUUCACAAUCUAUGUACAGGGUUAUCAUGAAAAAGGCAAUGCAACUUUAGCGUGCUCUUGCGCGCUCAAUAUUAAGUGCAAGGAUCUAUAAAAGAUAUUAAUAAAAUUAGGAUUAUAUCUUAUGGACCAGACCUUUCUUGUUUCAUUCCGAUCACAAAUGACAAAUACAAGCCAAUUAAACAUUGUCAGGAAAAAUCACAUUUUCCACCUUCAUACAUAACAAAAGAAAAAGCGAUUAAUCACUAAUAAGUCUGGCCAAACGAUAGGCUUAAAACAGAACUGACCAAUUUAUCAAAAAUUAUUUAAUUUUAUCGCACCAUAUUUAGGGCUUUUUAAACUAAAAUUCAUAAAUCUUCGAUCCAAACUGGAUUUAUUUUCAAUAGUUUUGCACCCAAUCCUCAACGGUGGGAAAAUGCGAUUUCGACCGGCAAUUUUUGAUUCGUAUUCGGUAAUUUUUCUUUAUAAUGAUGUAAAAAGGUACAUUUGAAAGUUAAAUGCCUGAAUCUUGUAUCCGUGAAAAAAUUAUCGAUAAACUCAACAUAUAACAUGUCUUUUUUACACACCAUGCAGUUUGUUUUGACCCUCUCCCCCUGUCCCAAGUCUUGAACCUUAUUGUUCAAGUUCUCGCGAAUGAAAGGAUAAAUUACUGAAUCGCAGAAAGCAGACUUGACCAUUAUGUAGGCCGACACAAACCAUGCCAUUUGAAGAGCAUGCUAUAGCUCGAACACUCCGGUCGAAAUGAAACUCUUCAACAAACCGUCCAUUGCGUAGAUCCCACAACGUCAGCGUCUUAUGACGAUACGAGCUUGACAAUAGAAAUUCUCCUCCUGGCACCAAUGUCAACGCUCUGAUAUCAUGUGUAAUAUCAACUCUAUGGAGCAUCGUUCCACAUUUAAAGUUCCAAAUCAGCAAAGAAUUACCAUCUAAAAGUGUAAUUAAAAAUUAUAAUAAUAUCUGUAAAGGAAAUGUUACACGAGGCAACUUUUGCUACAACUUAUGACGCACUUUUGCAUAUAUAGCCAUGUUACCGCAACUUGCAAUGCAAUUACCGAGAGAGGCCAUGGUAUCCCAAAAGUUGUCACAAAGAAAUUGUCAACAUGACCCGCAUUCUACUCUGCAAGCUAGUGGAUGAAAAAUGAAAGAAAUAGGUUUACAAAUGUCGGCAGAGUAAACCGUGGGCCAUGUGCACAAUUUCCCUGCGACUCCUUUUUAGAUAACAUGGUUCUAUGCCAGGAAUUGCGUUGUAAAUUGCAACAAAAAUUACCUCGUGUAACAUGGCCUUAAAGGGGCCAUGGGCGACAGAUACGGUUGGGGUGUUUCCCCUUACCGCUGAGUUAAGGCUACUGGUACUGCAAGAUGGCGGCCUAUACAGGGCUCUCUUGUAGGUAUAAAACACGCGUGUUUUUCGAGUGGGCUUCGCGAAAGCUGAAAAAUGACUAAAGUUUUCCGAUCGAUGUUUUUAAAUUUUUGCACAUAAAUGCUCAUUUUAAUGGUAAAUUUCCUACCUAAAAAGCUAAAAACUAAAUGAAAAAGUAAAAUUGAUG